RNAcentral lists this transfer RNA (73 nucleotides) under Bos taurus (domestic cattle). It matches the Rfam family "tRNA". From Rfam's summary of the family: Transfer RNA (tRNA) molecules are approximately 80 nucleotides in length. Their secondary structure includes four short double-helical elements and three loops (D, anti-codon, and T loops). The record is from Rfam by way of RNAcentral. RNAcentral also lists the same sequence under 2 other names. Lineage: Eukaryota; Metazoa; Chordata; Mammalia; Artiodactyla; Bovidae.
UCCCCAGUGGCCCAUUGGUUGAGGCUCUGUGUUCCCAAUGCAGGGGGCAUGGGUUCAAUCCCUGGUUGGGGAA